RNAcentral lists this ribosomal RNA (497 nucleotides) under uncultured bacterium. Its description in RNAcentral is "partial 16S ribosomal RNA". It matches the Rfam family "Bacterial small subunit ribosomal RNA", at positions 28 to 507 of the family's 1533-position model. The record is from RNAcentral.
GAUGAACGCUGGCGGCGUGCCUAAUACAUGCAAGUCGAGCGAACAGACGAGGAGCUUGCUCCUCUGACGUUAGCGGCGGACGGGUGAGUAACACGUGGAUAACCUACCUAUAAGACUGGGAUAACUUCGGGAAACCGGAGCUAAUACCGGAUAACAUGUUGAACCGCAUGGUUCAACAGUGAAAGACGGUCUUGCUGUCACUUAUAGAUGGAUCCGCGCCGCAUUAGCUAGUUGGUAAGGUAACGGCUUACCAAGGCAACGAUGCGUAGCCGACCUGAGAGGGGGGAUCGGCACAACUGGACCUGGACAACGGCCCGGCUCCUUAGGGGAGGAGCAAGGGGGGAUUCUGCGGCAAGGGCGGAAGGCCGGACGAGGAAAGGCGGGGGGAGUGAGGAGGGUCUUGGGUUGGAAAACUCUGUUAUUAGGGAAGAACAAAUGUGUAAGUAACUAUGCACGUCUUGACGGUACCUAAUCAGAAAGCCACGGCUAACUACGUG